Molecule: ribosomal RNA, 472 nt
Filed under: uncultured bacterium
Lineage: Bacteria
Description: bacterial SSU rRNA
Rfam family: Bacterial small subunit ribosomal RNA
Source: RNAcentral
UCGAGAAUCUUCCGCAAUGGGCGAAAGCCUGACGGAGCGACGCCGCGUGUAGGAUGAAGGCCCUCGGGUUGUAAACUACUGUCACGGGUUAUGAAUGUGCAUAUGUUAACAGCGUGUGUAUUGACGUAAGCCCGAAAGGAAGCACCGGCUAACUCUGUGCCAGCAGCCGCGGUAAUACAGAGGGUGCAAACGUUGUUCGGAAUUACUGGGCAUAAAGCGCGCGUAGGCGGCGACGUAAGUGUAGGGUGAAAUCCCACGGCUCACCCGUGUGAAUUGCCCCGCAUACUGCGUUGCUUGAGUGUGGUAGGGGAGAGCGGAACUCCUGGUGGAGCGGUGAAAUGCGUAGAUAUCAGGAGGAACACCGGUGGCGUAGGCGGCUCUCUGGUCCAUAACUGACGCUGAAGUGCGAAAGCUAGGGUAGCGAACGGGAUUAGAUACCCAUGUAGUCCCUGAGCGGGCUGGCAAGGCGCAU